GAAAGUAUGAAUUUUGGAUUUUAAAUUUGAAUUUAGAUGAAUUUAGAUAAAUUUUAAUACCAUUUCAAACUAUAUUUAUUCAAAUUCAAUAUAAUUUCAAAUCCAAAUUCCCUCCAAAGUAAAAUUUUAAUAACAUUGAUACCAAGUACAUAUAAGCCCUGCAAGAAAAAAAUACCCAAACCUAGCGAACUCCCAAUUAGUCUCUAGUUAAACACAAGGCAUACAAAUUGAGAUAUCAAGCAUUGUUCAUAUACCUAUUAACUAAAGAAAAAUAUAUAAAUUUUAAUAAAUAUUUUUCUCAGUAUUCUUAAAAAUUUCCUAAUCUUACAAAAUUUACAUUGAUAAUAAAAUUUUUAUUUAAAAAUUCUAAAAUAUUUCUGUAACCCCUUCAUCUUCAUUAUUAUCUACCCAACACCUAAUCUUUCUGAAAAUGGGAGAUUGCGGAGCAAGAGAGAGACGGUAAACCACGCUCCUCAAUUUCCCACCACUCAAGACUCUGAAACGAAAAAGACUGUAAAUCAUGAGAUUUUAAGUUUUUCAUCACUUGUUUCUUUUCCCCUAUCGAAACUAGGGCAUUUUCUUAGGAGAAACAGAGCAAAAGCAAAAAGUUAACGCUCCUGAUGAGAAACAAGAGGGGCCGCUGCGGUCCGACGACGGCCGGAGCCGGAGCGGAGCGUACCUGGAUCUCGCACCGUGGUCCGAACAAAGUGUCCCCUUUCCAGCAAGGCUUUCACCAGGAGUAGUGCAAAAGAGAGGACAGUGACUUGCAAGUUGGUAAGAGUGGUUCCAUAUGUCUUUACCUUUUUUCUUUUGUCACUUUUUCUUUAUGUAAACUCCUAUUAUUAUUAUUAUUAUUAUUAUUAUUAUUAUUAUCUUUUUCUUUUUCUUUAUGACCCCUUCUACUUCGAGUGAUCAAACCUCUGUAGAAAUUAUUAGGUGGAUUGGGUCUACACAUCAUGUAUAGAUUAAUCCAAUUAAAUGUUAACAACUCUAAAGUAGACGCAUAGCAAAUCCUAGUCUGUGGUUCCUAAAA
Molecule: long non-coding RNA, 1033 nt
Organism: Malania oleifera
Lineage: Eukaryota; Viridiplantae; Streptophyta; Magnoliopsida; Santalales; Ximeniaceae
Exons: 2
Source: RefSeq, a predicted model, not a curated record